RNAcentral lists this ribosomal RNA (253 nucleotides) under uncultured bacterium. RNAcentral describes it as "partial 16S ribosomal RNA". It matches the Rfam family "Bacterial small subunit ribosomal RNA", at positions 524 to 776 of the family's 1533-position model. The record is from RNAcentral.
UACGUAGGGUGCGAGCGUUAAUCGGAAUUACUGGGCGUAAAGCGUGCGCAGGCGGUUUUGUAAGCCGGAUGUGAAAUCUCCGGGCUUAACCCGGAGCGGCCAAGUGAUACUGUCGUGCUAGAGUUCGGUAGGGGAGACUGGAAUUCCUGGUGUAGCGGUGAAAUGCGCAGAUAUCAAGAGGAACACCUGCGGCGAAGGCGGGUUGCUGGGCCGACACUGACGCUGAAGCGCGAAAGCCAGGGGAGCGAACGGG